CUCUUCUUAAAAAUUAUGACACUCCUUCAUAAAAAUUAUGACAUCUUAUUUCAGUUUAGUCUUUUAUGCAGGAGUGUCAUAAUUUUUAUGAAGGAGUGUUAUAAUUUUUAAGAAGAAUAUUUUCAUCAUAUAAAAUUUUUAAACGAAAAAACCAACCUACUGGUAUUAAAUGUGCGUUGGAAAGCAGUGGCUAUUUGGAUCAAUUGGAUAAAAUGAUGUAUUUCAUGUCGAGUUUUCUACACCACCUGCGGUGUAUAAAGAAUUUCUCAAGCCUGAAAAUAUGUGCAUGGCUUAGGUGGGGGG
Molecule: long non-coding RNA, 303 nt
Filed under: Elaeis guineensis (African oil palm)
Lineage: Eukaryota; Viridiplantae; Streptophyta; Magnoliopsida; Arecales; Arecaceae
Description: long non-coding RNA (EGUI_LNC033232)
Source: RNAcentral